CAAAUUUUGGGAGAGAAAGAUAAAGAGAGUAGAGAGAUAUUUAGAGAGAGAAAGGGAGGGUUUCUCUCUCCCUCUCCAUGUGUGUGUGGGAAUGGUGGUGGUGGUGGUGGUGGUGGUGGUCGGCUAAGGAGGAAAAAGAAAAAGGAUCAAAAUCUCUUUUAUAAGCAACCCCUCAAAAUACUAUUACAAUCAGCAAUUUAGCUUUCAAAAUCUAAUACUUUUCGCCGGGACCCUUCUGAAUGUCUGUUUGAACUCAAAUUUGACAGUCAGGCUCGGUUUAUACUAAUUAGAAAGAAAAUAUCUUAACUUUCCAGUUUGGACCAUUUUUUGUCACCGAAAGCUCUAUCGAACUAAAAUCUCUAGCAAAUAGCAGUCAGAUUUUAUUUUCCCCUUUCCGGGUGUCGUAAUGACAUGAAACUUUAAAUCUAGCCUCACAAAAAUAAUCCUGACAUAUUUUCAGAUUUUCAUAAUUUUCUGACACUGUAAAUUUUCUGCUAAAAUAUCAGCCUUGUUCUUUACAGAAAAUUCUAAAUCUUCUGUUUCCGUUCCGAUUUCAACACGAGUCAUUCCAGACUUAUAUUUUAUUUCUACCCCCCUUAAAAAGAGUUUCAUCCGCGAAACUCAAAUCACACCUCAAUUCGACUUAUCGAGCAAUUGAGGGUAACA
This 666-nucleotide long non-coding RNA is filed under the name Ananas comosus (pineapple). RNAcentral's name for it is "long non-coding RNA (ACOM_LNC008851)". Lineage: Eukaryota; Viridiplantae; Streptophyta; Magnoliopsida; Poales; Bromeliaceae. The record is from RNAcentral.